Molecule: unclassified non-coding RNA, 229 nt
Filed under: plant metagenome
Description: partial contains small subunit ribosomal RNA, internal transcribed spacer 1, and 5.8S ribosomal RNA
Source: RNAcentral
UCUCCGUAGGUGAACCUGCGGAGGGAUCAUUACAGAGUUCUCGCCCUCACGGGUAGAUCUCCCACCCAAUGUUAUCGUUACACUGUUUCUUUGGCGGGCCGCCGGGCCCUGCUCGGCCGCCGGCUCCGGCUGUCGCGCGCCCGCCAGAGGCCCUUUAAACCCUGAAUGUCGGUGUCGUCUGAGUACUCUACAAUAGUUCAAACUUUCAACAACGGAUCUCUUGGUUCUG